GGACUACACGGGUAUCUAAUCCCGUUCGCUCCCCUAGCUUUCGCGCAUCAGCGUCAGAAGAGGUCCAGCAGGUCGCUUUCGCCACCGGCGUUCCUUCCGAUCUCAACGCAUUUCACCGCUCCACCGGAAGUUCCACCUGCCCCUACCUCCCUCCAGCCGGUCCGUACCCGGGGCACUGUUCCGGUUAAGCCGGAAGCUUUCACCCCGGACGCGAUCGGCCGCCUACGCGCCCUUUAAGCCCAGUGAUUCCGAACAACGUUCGCACGGUUCGUCUUACCGCGGCUGCUGGCAC
RNAcentral lists this ribosomal RNA (292 nucleotides) under uncultured Planctomycetota bacterium. RNAcentral's name for it is "uncultured planctomycete partial 16S ribosomal RNA". Lineage: Bacteria; Pseudomonadati; Planctomycetota. The record is from RNAcentral.